CACACAAAUACAAAUAUAGUAGAUUCUUUAGUACUUGGGUCAAGAGUUGAAGUCUCAAUUAUUUUAGUAUUUCUCUUAUUAUUUUCAUAAGAUAUGGUAAGUGUAUAAGUAUUUUUUUAAGGGAUUAUAUGUAUACGUUAGAUUUUUGGAACAUUAAUUAUGAGGUCCUUUACGUAUAUUCUACGUUUGGGCCGGAGUAUAGUAGCUCUACGCAUGCAAGUGUCAUACCACCUAUAUUCAGUAUAGAUUUUCAUGUCUCAAUAUGUAUAUAUGUAUGAAGUUUUUUAAAUUUUGUAUAAAUAUUAAUCCAUGUAUUUAUAUACUUAUUGAGAUUGGUCUUACACCUCCUUUAUCCCCUUUCAAGAAAUUGAUGGUUCGUGACAAUUAAGACAUGAGAAGGCUGGCAAAUUGGCAAGUGA
Molecule: long non-coding RNA, 419 nt
Filed under: Olea europaea (common olive)
Lineage: Eukaryota; Viridiplantae; Streptophyta; Magnoliopsida; Lamiales; Oleaceae
Description: long non-coding RNA (OEUR_LNC006278)
Source: RNAcentral